Molecule: long non-coding RNA, 1467 nt
Organism: Danaus plexippus (monarch butterfly)
Lineage: Eukaryota; Metazoa; Arthropoda; Insecta; Lepidoptera; Nymphalidae
Exons: 2
Source: RefSeq, a predicted model, not a curated record
UUAACGAAGGCACACAUCUCGUCCUACAUACACCGUUGUGCCGAACGGUAGUCAAAUGAAUCGAAGAUGAAAAUUAUGAAGAUUUUUAUAAACAGUGCAGAUAUCAGACGUUCAAUGUUUUAUAUUUUGAUUGUUAAAGUAAUAUCUUUUAUUGUUUUGCCACAUAUUUUUCGUUUAUGAGUCACAUGUUGAAAUAAAGCCGGAAAGUUAAAGGAAAUGUGAAAAGUGCUCGGCAAAGCUCGGCUCCCUAUGUAUCGGUUGGCCAUACAGAUCGUUAUAAACCACACCGCGUGUCUGUUUACACGGCGGUACGGGGCUGGAGUCGAAAUUGAUAUUGAUUUACAUCAGCACUGAUCGCAAGUGCUCUCAGGUAAUACAAUUACAUACCGGUUAGAAUGAUGCCGUAUUUCAGAAUACAGUGUUUUUAUUUAAUAUUUUAUCAUUAUUUAAUUUAUAGUACGAAUAUAUUGAUAUCUGUUUUUGGUAAGGUUAUGAUGUUUUCAUUACAUAUUAUGUUUUUCUUGCUAUCAAUAUUCUCUAAUGUAUAAAACAUAUUUGAAUGUAUCCAUUUCACUCCAGCAUAUUUAUUUUGCAGACGCGGUAUCCUGGACUGUUUUUGAUACUAGUGACGUCAUAGUACAACACUCGUUUUGGCUGCUUUAACUUAAUAAUUCAUAUUUUAAGAAUACUAGAAAAUUGUGCUUAAAUUCACAAUAUAAUCACCAGGGUGAAGAAAUGUUAAUUUUCUUUUAAUUUAUUUGUGGUGAUUAAUUUUUUUUUUGUAUUUUUUCUUUUGUGUUUUCUAUAUCUUUGAUAUUUUUUACGCAUAAGUAUUUUACAACACUCUUUGAAACUCCGCACUUCGGUGAGACGUUGUUAGUGUAUAUUAUGAUCUUUUUACAGAUUUUAGAUUGUACAAAAACAAUCUGUAUUACAUAGGUAGUCUGUUCCCCGACACCGACUGCGUGCAAUAAUGUUUAUUUUUUAUACUGUUCGUGUAAAUAUAACAAAUAAUCUUUUAUCACAUAUGAGAUACAGAAAAGUAUUUUGUGUUAAAUAUUACACUUAAGAUUACUAUGUAUCAUAAGAUUAAGGAAAAUUGUAUAUUGUAGCACUUAGUCAAGGCUUUGUAUGGGUUGGAUUUCGUAAAUCGCGUUACUGGAGAAUUGAUUCCACUUUCAGAAAAAAACGAACUUAAUUUUUUUUUUUUUAAUUUGUCAAAUCUUGUUGACAAGCAAUUAAAAAAAUAUCCAUCCGUAUAUAUUUUAUAUAUAUUUCUUAACUAUUCCUUUUUUUCACGUACUUACCAUAGUUUUAUUUUCUCCAAAGAGUAUAAGCGAUUAGUUUAUAUGACCCUUACAAAAAUAUUACAUAAUAUAAGUAUAGAACAUAGUUUAAAAUAUCUGUUACUAUUUUCACUGACAUACAACAUAAUGCUAAAUUAAAAAAAAUAUAUAUGCAGAAAAA